Molecule: small nuclear RNA, 111 nt
Filed under: Penicillium griseofulvum
Lineage: Eukaryota; Fungi; Ascomycota; Eurotiomycetes; Eurotiales; Aspergillaceae
Source: RNAcentral
GCCCCCUUCGCCCUUCGGGGCAUACGGUCAAACAGAAAAUAUACAGAGAAGAUUAGCAUGGCCCCUGCACUAAGGAUGACACGCUCAAUCAAAGAGAAGCACCCAUUUUUU